RNAcentral lists this ribosomal RNA (443 nucleotides) under uncultured bacterium. RNAcentral's name for it is "bacterial SSU rRNA". It matches the Rfam family "Bacterial small subunit ribosomal RNA", at positions 28 to 484 of the family's 1533-position model. The record is from RNAcentral.
GACGAACGCUGGCAGCGCGCCUAACACAUGCAAGUCGAACGAGCGAGAGAGAGCUUGCUUUCUCGAGCGAGUGGCGAACGGGUGAGUAACGCGUGAGGAACCUGCCUCAAAGAGGGGGACAACAGUUGGAAACGACUGCUAAUACCGCAUAAGCCCACGGCUCGGCAUCGAGCAGAGGGAAAAGGAGCAAUCCGCUUUGAGAUGGCCUCGCGUCCGAUUAGCUAGUUGGUGAGGUAAUGGCCCACCAAGGCAACGAUCGGUAGCCGGACUGAGAGGUUGAACGGCCACAUUGGGACUGAGACACGGCCCAGACUCCUACGGGAGGCAGCAGUGGGGAAUAUUGCACAAUGGGGGAAACCCUGAUGCAGCGACGCCGCGUGGAGGAAGAAGGUCUUCGGAUUGUAAACUCCUGUUGUUGGGGAAGAUAAUGACGGUACCCAACA